This 460-nucleotide ribosomal RNA is filed under the name uncultured bacterium. Its description in RNAcentral is "partial 16S ribosomal RNA". It matches the Rfam family "Bacterial small subunit ribosomal RNA", at positions 338 to 795 of the family's 1533-position model. The record is from RNAcentral.
CCUACGGGGUGCAGCAGUGAGGAAUAUUGGUCAAUGGACGCAAGUCUGAACCAGCCAUGCCGCGUGCAGGAUGACGGCUCUAUGAGUUGUAAACUGCUUUUGUACGAGGGUAAACCCCGAUACGUGUAUCGGGUUGAAAGUAUCGUACGAAUAAGGAUCGGCUAACUCCGUGCCAGCAGCCGCGGUAAUACGGAGGAUGCGAGCGUUAUCCGGAUUUAUUGGGUUUAAAGGGUGCGUAGGCGGUUUGAUAAGUUAGAGGUGAAAGGUCGGGGCUCAACCCCGAAACUGCCUCUAAUACUGUUGGACUAGAGAAUAGUUGCGGUAGGCGGAAUGUAUGGUGUAGCGGUGAAAUGCUUAGAGAUCGUACAGAACACCGAUUGCGAAGGCAGCUUACCAAACUAUAUCUGACGUUGAGGCACGAAAGCGUGGGUAGCGAACAGGAUUAGAUACCCGGGUAGUC